Molecule: long non-coding RNA, 109 nt
Organism: Dermochelys coriacea (leatherback sea turtle)
Lineage: Eukaryota; Metazoa; Chordata; Testudines; Dermochelyidae
Exons: 2
Source: RefSeq, a predicted model, not a curated record
CUCCCAAGGCAGGCUCCCAGACCAUGAAGCCAGAGAAGGCACCUCUGCUGCAAAUGUUUGUACUCUCCCCCUAUCAUCUCAGUCCAGAGGCUAAUGCAGAUUAGAAGGC